RNAcentral lists this non-coding RNA (92 nucleotides) under Trichoplax adhaerens. The record is from RNAcentral. Lineage: Eukaryota; Metazoa; Placozoa; Uniplacotomia; Trichoplacea; Trichoplacidae.
CCUCGAUAAGGACGAGAAAAGUCUCCGACUUUCAACAUACACACAAAUGGUUAAGGCAUUGCCACCUACUUUGUGGCAUCUGACCAUCUUUU